This 72-nucleotide transfer RNA is filed under the name Thomasclavelia spiroformis. RNAcentral describes it as "[Clostridium] spiroforme tRNA-Gly". It matches the Rfam family "tRNA". From Rfam's summary of the family: Transfer RNA (tRNA) molecules are approximately 80 nucleotides in length. Their secondary structure includes four short double-helical elements and three loops (D, anti-codon, and T loops). The record is from RNAcentral. Lineage: Bacteria; Bacillati; Bacillota; Erysipelotrichia; Erysipelotrichales; Coprobacillaceae. RNAcentral also lists the same sequence under 3 other names.
GCGUCGUUGGUGUUAGUGAUAGCAUAUUAGACUUCCAAUCUAAAGGGGAGAGUUUGAAUCUCUUACGACGCU